Molecule: non-coding RNA, 100 nt
Organism: Acanthosepion pharaonis
Lineage: Eukaryota; Metazoa; Mollusca; Cephalopoda; Sepiida; Sepiidae
Source: the annotation of a GenBank genome assembly
CGUUGAAACACCGGUUUCCGUACGGUUACUAAAGUUAAGCAACGUCGAGGCUGGUCAUUACCUAGAUGGGUGAGCACUUGGGAAUACCAGGUGCUGUAAG